Molecule: long non-coding RNA, 9380 nt
Filed under: Olea europaea (common olive)
Lineage: Eukaryota; Viridiplantae; Streptophyta; Magnoliopsida; Lamiales; Oleaceae
Description: long non-coding RNA (OEUR_LNC008432)
Source: RNAcentral
AAAAGAAAAGUGUGAGUGGAGUGGAGUGGAGGCUCAUGGGAGAAAUAUGACUUGAAUAAUUGUUUUGUUAUACUUUGAUUUAAUUAUUUAAGGUGAUACCUUUUAAUUCAAGUCUAUUCCCAUAUUAUUAACUUUGGAGGCUCAAGUUGAUACAGAAAGCAAGUCUCAUAGCGAAUAUGAGAUCAAUCAACAAUACUGAGUCAAUAUACCCCAAACUCACUCAAUGAGACAAUGAGGUUGAACGACAAGAACUCGGCUCCAAGAAUACAUCAAAGCACCUAGAGUCAAACAAGGUAGUUCAAAUCAGUAAAGGCUCGCAAGGCUCAUGUAGUAUAGCAGUUCAUGGUGAACUGUUGGAACAUAUCAUAUAAAGAGUUCAACAUCAUAUCAAUCUGAGUCUUUAAAGUCAAUGGUUGAACCCAAAUUAUCCGCCAUGUUGAAGUGUGCAAUCAUAAUCAACAUACGACCAUAUGAAGGCGUUUCGAGUUUCAUGCGAAUGUUAUUUAAGGUAUGAAUGACUUCAAAACGAAUCCUCCUACUUUAAUGAACAUACACGUCCCGAAGACUUUGUAGCAUAUCAUAGGAGGUACUAUAACCUUCAAGAUUUUGCUAUAACAUCUUGAUAUUGAAACCUAAAUGUAACAAGAAGUCGUCUUAUCUCCAUUCACACACUUAUAAUACGCAAUCAUCUUAGAUUUGUUUGUGCUCUUAGUAGAUUCCACACGACAUUCCUCCUCAAGCAUAAAAUCAAGUUUCUCCACAAUAAGUAUAAAAACCAAAAUACGUUUCCAAUCCACACAAUUUUUUCCUUUAAGUUGGUUUUAUGUUAGAAUAACAAAAAGUGACUUAACAGACAUUUUGCUGAAAAAUAACCAUAUACCGAUAUUAAAUAACAAUUUUGCAUAUGAUGAAUGAACGCAUAUCUAAAUCCAUAAAACUAAAAUGAUUUCACAAUUUUUGUUUAUUGUGAUCCAACAUGCACAUCCAUAAGAAACGUCACCGUGUCCAUCAAAUAAUCGAACUACAUGUCCCUUCUAUAGGAAGUCCGUUGUGGCACGAUGCUAACACAUUUCUUUAUUUAUGGAUUGAUAGAAAGAAAGAAUAAAUUUUUAUUUAAAUAAAACACUAUUUCUUCCUCAAUAUUAAAGUAAUGAAUUUUGAUUUUAAAUAAUUAUGAAUUGUUUACAUUACUAAUAUUAAUAUGCAUUUUAAUUCUUAGACAUUUCCCUUUCCAAAAAAAUUUAGUCUAAAUUAAUUAAUCGAGGGAAAAAUUGAUCUCCAAUGAUAUACAUUCUAUUCAUAGUUUCACGAAUGAUAUCAAAAAUAAAUUUAUAUGUUAUGAUUUCUAAAAUAAUAAAAUUUCAAAUAACAAUUUAAAACAUUUAUAAGCAAUAAAUUAAAAACUAUUUGUGGUGCAAAAAUGAUUGAAUCAAAUUAAAAACUAAUGGGGCCUAAACUCUAUAUUUAAUCUAAGUCUUAAGCCCAAAUGAUCCAAUAGUAACGAUUUAAAAUAGAAAAACUGAUUGCAAAUGGGCAAACAAUUUAAAAUAAUUUCAAUCGUUCAAUCAUUAUACAAGCAAUUAUACAUAAAUAUUGCUCGGUGAUUAUGCAAUCAAGAUUUAGAAAUAAUAAGCAUAUGAAUGAUCUAAAUUACUCUAAUAUCAGUUGUUGAAAUGCGGAACAAUAAUUACAUGGAAAAUAAAAAAAUAAAUCUUUAAUUCAAGAUCAUUACUAGAUGUUAACGUAUAUGUUAUAAUUAAAAAACCUAUAUUAAAGAUGUACUCAAGUUCGACAAUCCUUAAUACCAGUAAAUAAUGGGGGGAAAUUGCUUCACGGGGCAUAACCCAGUGGUAUAAAAGGAUAGGAGUGAGGUAGUCUCAACUUUGCUGGCAGUCGCAGUGUGAGAGUUUGAUUUCUAAGAUAUGAAAUUUGAGUGGGAACUAGUAUAUGGACAAGCUCUUAUUCUCUGGUCUGUUGGGACAUAUCCCUCGAAUUAACUCCCUCACGAUGCUCUAGGGGUGGGGCGGUAGGGGCCCUCAAAGUUGGGGUUCAACAUUUUUUAAAAUAAUUGGGGGAAAUAGUAAAGGGUUUGAGAAUCGAUUCUAGCAAAAAUCGAUUUGAAAAAAAGCUUAACACCUAGGCAGAACGGAUUGUUAUCCCUAAAAUAUGAAACUGAUUUGAAAAUAAAUAAAAACUAAAAUAAAUAAUGUUAUACUGUAAACCAGUAAUGAUCUAUAGAUAUAUUAGCACAUUUCAAUUUUAUGAAUGAGAAUUGGUAUUUACCCUGAUAUUGUGAAAGCAAUCCUCUUUAGUGGGCCUUUGCCUAUUUAGUAUUUACUUCCCAUUCUUUAUAUUAUCUUUGUCAUCUUUUCCUUUUUCAAUUUUUGUCGUUUGAUUAUUUUAAAUAAAACGGGUUAAUUAAUAGGAAUUCAGCAAUAAAAUUAACUAGCAAAAAGAGUAAACACAUGCAACAAAAAUGUACACAUCAAUUAUCAAGUGUAUAUUUUCCUUUAAAUAAAAUUUCAGGGAUAUUAAUUUGGGAAUUAAGGGAAAAAAAAGUUGGAAAGGUAAAAAAUAUGUAAAAUUGAAAUGUAAUCCACAUAUCUAAAUAAACAAACAUAUACCUUCCAUAUUUACUCGACAAAUUUGAGGGUUAUUCAUAAGCACAGUUAGUAUAGCACCUUUACUUUCAGGGCUUCUUUGGAUAGCACCACUGCUACUGUUUAACCAUAUCCUAAUAUCCUUCAAUAGGAGAAAACUUUAAAAGGGAAGAAGAAAAAAGUACAAGCUAAUCUCUCGAUAAUAGGGAAGAGGUUUAUCAAUUCUCCAUCAAAUAUUCCCCUUCCUCUCUCUUGCUUGCUUGGUUUGGUAAGGGUCAAAGGAAGUUCAUGGUUUGGAGUUUAUGGUAUGCCGUAUGCACAAGUGGUAUCCUUAGUAACGCAGACUCCUAGUACAAAUUAAGUACACUAGUACUAAAAUAUAUGUCAAUGGCCAGCUUAGUAACACAGAUUCAUAGUACAAAUUAAGUAAACUAGUCACUUUUCAAAAGAGUAAUUAGCACAAAAUAUCUCUAUCUUUCAUCAUUUUUUGUGGAAAACGUUCAUACCUUUCUUUUUUGGCGCAUUUCAUCACUACCUUUACGUUUUCUUAUGAAAAACAUCAUUUUUAUCAUUUUUCUCAAUAAAAAGCUAUAAAAUGACUAAUAUACCUUUCUAUUUAAAUAAAAAAAUUGAAGAACUAAUUGCAAUCAUAGUCCCAAUUUUUAAAAAAGUUCAAAAGAGUCCCAAAUAAAAAAAAAAAAUUCUCCACCUCCACCUCCUCCACCACUACCACCACCAAUUUUCGUUAGCUACCCCGACCACCGAAAACUACCCUCCAUGCCGACGGCCUCUCACCUACAACACAAUUUGAACAAACAUCCCAUCCAAACAUCCAUUUAGAGACAAAAAUUAGUGGAAAACAACCUUGAUUUUUUGCGCCCUAUACAAAUUGAUUCCACAACUUUUGACAACACUCAUGGCCAUCCACUGCCACCGGUCAUCUCCCCUUAUCUACGCCAACGUCGUAAUGGAUUAACAUCACCAAAAUAGGCCUUAAAUAUUGCUGAAUUUUUUAGUAAAACCAACCUGAUUCGCGAGCACAAUGAAGCAGUAGCACCUCUUCCAAUUAAUGGGCCCAAGCUAUUUUUCCACCAAAUUGCCACCAGUCGAGUGUCCAGCAACCUCAUAAGACCUUGGGUGUGCAUUCAAUUGAUUCAAUCCAACCUCCAAUUGAUCCAAUUUUUCAAAGCAAUUCUACACAAAUUCUUCUUGGGCAGAUGUGCUUCCGCUUUCUCCUCCUAUUCCUCCUCUCUCAGUUCCACACCAAUUCUCUUUCCAGAGGACUCUUCACCCGUUCAAUCCUCCAUAUUUUCAGUCACAAGGGUCACCGUUGACCAGGGAUUAUUCACACUUGAUGAAAUCCAGUAAUACUUUAUGGAUAUGGUAAUGGAACUUACGGUUACAAUAGUAAUGUUAUAGCCAGAGCUAGAGCUGGAGUUAGAACAAGAGCAUUAGCUCCACAUCAGCUUGGAACGGUGUAGAUGCAAACGGUGGGUGGGGUUGGGGUUGAGCGAAUGGUGUUUGAAUUAAUGCCGGUGGUCCAAGGGACGGGUGCAGAAAAAACGACUUAGGCUGUUUGGUGUGAACAUGGAGUGUCUCAUAUUGUCUUUACAACUGUAUUGGGACUUUUAGAGCUUUUUAUUUUAUUUUUUAUUUGGGACUCUUUUGAACUUUUUAAAAAAAAUUGGGACUAUAAUUGCAAAUAGUUCUUUAUUUUUUUUUAUUUAAAUAGAAGGGUAUAUUAGUCAUUUUAUAGAUUUUUUUGAAAAAAAUGAUGAAAAUGAUGUUUUACACAAGAAAAAAUAAAUGUAGGGAUGAACUGCUUCAAAAAAUGAAAGGUAUAGACUUUUUUCCACAAAAAUCAUGAAAGGUGAGGACGUUUUGUACUAAUUGUCCCUAUUGAAAAAUAAUUCUUAUUUUACUAUCUAAAUAACUUAUUUAUCAAUAAAAAUAUUUAUUUUAAAAUUGAGUUGUUUAUUUUAAAUUUACUUUAAGUUACAUUUCAAGAUUACCCCGUCAUGAGUAGACGUAGAAUGAAAGGCAUCCGGAAGCUAAAUGCUCAUUUGAUUUAUGUUUCAAUUUUGUGUUUUGAAUUUAAUUUCAGAUUUUUGUUUCUAUAGGAUGUUUUUAGAUUGCUAAAAAUAUGUUUGGUAUAUCAUUUUGUAAAAUUAUUUAUCAAAAUAAAAAAAUUAGAAAACACGUUUGAUUUGAAAUUCUGAAUUUUAUGACAUUUUAUUCAUUGAAAAUUAAUUAUUCAAUAAAAAUAGAAUAAUCUUAUGUUAAUAUUUUAUUAAGUAAUAUAUACAUUUUAAGUUGGUAAAUUUUACAAUAUUUUUUCUCGAAUUUUUAUGUAAAUAUCAUUAAUAUCUUGAACUAUUUUUAUUUUUUAUUUUUUCUAGAAUUUUUAUAAUUUUAUUUUGUUAAAAUUUUAAUUUUAAUUUUUAAUUUUUUAGAAUUUAUCAAUUUUAUUUUCUGAAUCUUAUUUUUUAACAUUUUCAAUUUUUAUUUGUUAGAAUUUGUAUUUGUAUUUUGUAAAAUUUUCAAUUUUUAAAAUUUAUUUAAUAAAAUUUUAUUAAAACUCUUAUUUUUCAUGUUUUGCUAAAAACACUCAAAACAUUAAAAUGCAUUUUGAGUUUUAUGUUAUAAAUUUAUCAUUGUUUUCGCAAAUGCAUUUUCAAAAAUAUCUUAUAAAAUAUGUUUUUAGUAUUUUGCAAAUUGAAAACUAAGAACAGCAAACCAAACGCAUCUUAAGCUUCUUGUUUCAAAGCAUAAGCCAAUUUCGAUUUCACAUAAUUAUGUUUAACUGAAGUAAUUAGAAAGGAUGGCUUCUCAUAUUUGGUUUUUGUGAAACAUUCAUAUCUUGCAUUUUUGAGACAUGUGGCAAGCUUAUUAUGUGUUUUGAUAUGAUUGAAUACAUUGAGGAUAAUAUUUAAAUGAAUAUAUAAAACUUUUCGACCUUGUCCACGUGUCGAAGUACUGACUACCGUGCACUUGAACAAAGUGAACAAGUAUGCGAAUAAGCUCACUCACUGUGACACCCAUCUCGUUGCACCAUGCCCCAAAUCCAUUUUUGCCAUAGUUUCCAUUGCUUGCAAACCAAAAUUGCAAUCUGUAUGUGUCGCAGCAUUUCAUGCAACCUGCUUUGGUAUAAUUUGUUGCGAAUCUCCUAUGAGAGAGUACUAGAUAGUAGUAAAGCCACAUAAAAGGCUUGAGGUUCCAUCUUGCUGCCAAUAAAAAUUGUGCAUCUUUAAGAUCAUGGAUCAAAAAGUGAAUCUUGUUGCAGUUAACCGAGCUUGUUGAAGACAAAAUGUAAAUGGUUAACAAGACCUCUUGGGAUAUUUGUUUAGUAUAUAAUCGAGGUUUAACUUUCCCUUUGAUAUCUUGGGGCACGACAUAAUAGUAUAAGAGGAAACUAAGUGUUAUGUGACAUGAAGUGUUAUAUGUGGUAAGUGUAUAUUAUACACUUACUCGGGUCUUUAAAUAUAGAUGUUUCAAAAAAAACUUUGAUUAAUUAUGGCCUAAUUUAUUGUAUAUUUUGGAAGAUAAAAUGAAAGAAAGAAGCGAAAAUUAACAAAAAAAUAAAAAAAAUGGCAAAAUACAGAGUAUGGGGACUAAAUUAUAACAUUCUAAUAGUUGAUUCGGUCCACAAAAUGAAGAUUGAAAAAUUGUAUGGUUCAAAUUUAAUGCAAAUAGAAGUUAAAGGAGCAAAAUAGAAUAAUUCAAAUUGAAAUGUUCAAAAUCAAGAAAAGAAUGAAGAAGAGGACCAAAACGCAAAAAUUGGGAAAUCGUUAUAACUGGGUGAAUAUGGAUCAGGCACAUGCCCGGACCUUGAAAUAAAGAACAUUUGAGUAUCAGGGCUCGCGGCCAAAAUAAUUUUUUUCGUUAAGAAUUUUACUCAAACAAGGAAAGUUCUUUUUGGGGCCAUUAUUUGCACGAAUUUUAGAGACUUUUGGUACUCCUUGAAGAGUAGCAUAAAUAACAAUUAUCAACACAUAAUUAGGGGAAGAAUUGAUUGUGAAUAACGUAAGAUCGAAUUCAUGAAAUUCAAAUAUCACAAUCAAGAAUCGUGGGUGAUGAAUUAUCUUUAUUUCUUUUAUUUUCUUCUUCUCAAUACGUUAGGCUAAAUUAUUCUUGAACUGAGAUUAUGAUGAAUCUUAUAUCAUAAAUCUUUAACUCUUGAUUUUAUUUAUUUUUGACAUUCGAAGCACGUUUUCAAUUUUUAAUAAUUGACACAUGUUUAUGCUUCUCUACAAUUAUAUGUACAAUAGUUGUAUGAAUUUUGUACCUUAUUUUACAUUUGAAAAAUUGAAAAUAAGUUAGACAUGGUGUCAAUGAUCGCAACGUUUGAUGAAAGAUAGGAAUAUACUGCUAUACUUUACGUAAUAUUUAAGUAUUUAUAAAUUAUUAAUACAUUCUUAUAUGUUCCCAUCUGUCAUAGAAAUAUAGUCAAAUCACAUGUAGAAUAAAUUUAAUUCUAAUCGAGUGAAGUUGUUAAAUAAUUUAGGAAUAUUGAUCUUCAUAAUGGAAUCAUAUUUUACUUGUUUAAUUUUAUUUUUAUAUUACACUAAAAUGAGUUGAAGAUUUUGCUAUAUUUAUUAUCUCAUUCUCUAUUGAUGAUAAAAGUGGGCAUAAUGAAAAUUAAAUGUAGCAAAGUAUAUAAAUGUUUUUCAUCUUUGUAUAUUAAUUAAUUUGAAAAUUAACUUAUUUUUCUAGUAUGUGUAUAUAUAAUUUUAUUAUAACCAGUUCAAUCUAGGUUUAACACUAGUUCGACAUUUUGACCCUUAACCUUUUUACUUUUGAAAAUAUUGUUAAAUAAAGCAAUUUUAUUAUACAUACAUUCUAGUUGACGUUCUGAUUUACAUUCUGUGAUGUGGCACAUAAUUUCACUAUUGAUUUGUCCAACACUUAAACAAUCAAUGAUCUCGAUUUUUCCACUUAUUCAAAUGUCAUCCAAGUUGUACACAAAUGAUGUACGACUAACAUAAUUCUAAAUAAAGCUAGUUGUGGACACAACAACUUGAGUAUGACGAUUUCCUUGUGGGAACUAAUUUUUCCUCAACAUAAUGGUUUGCUUAUGGUGUCGAUAGCAGCUGGAAAAAAUGAGCGGAGUUCUUCGCUUCUCCAAUAAUGCCAAAGUCGGUAUUUGUAGAGAACAAACGAACGAAUAAUAACACCAGUUUGCACUUGAAAAGUGUACCUUAUAAAGUGGAGUUUUCUGCUGGUGUUGGACUUUUACUUACUUCAGAUGUCUCAAGUGGAGCCCAAAAAAGAUUAACCGACAUACUGUUUAGCUAAUCGCCUGGUGUAUCAUCAUCGCUACUUUCAUACUUAGCCCCUGUUUGACAACUAUUACUUGAAAUUUUUUUUUUUACAUACUCAUUUUCAACAAUAUAUUCACAUAAUAAAAUAUUCUACACGUAACUACAAAACUUUUUCUUACUUUUUAACCACAUAUUUUCUUAAAAAUCACUAUUCAAAACAUUGUUUUUUCUAAAUAAGAGAAAAUCCCUCCAAAUGGUCAAUGAACUUUGCAGAAAAUCUCCUAUGAGGUCACCGAACUUCAUUACGUCCCUGAAUAGUCAUUGAACUUUUUCGAAGUCCCCCAAGAGGUUACCGAACUUCAAAACGUCCCUGAAUGGUCAUAAAUUGGGACCCCUUACAUAAUUAGUUUAGUGACCUCCCAGAGACUUCGGCAAAGUUCAGCGACCAUUCAGGGGCGUUUUGAUAUUCGGUGACUUCUUGGGAGACUUUGGAAAAGUUCAAUGACUAUUCAAGGGCGUAUUGAAGUUCGAAGAUCUCCUAGGAGAUUUUUUGCAAAGUUCAGUGACCAUUGGGGGUAAUUCCUCCCCAAAUAAUGAUAAUCAAACCGGGGCUUAAUUUCUAUUGAAGUUAUUGGUAUUCAAUUUAUCUGCAUCUAUGCAGUAAAAGAUCUGAACUUACAAAAUAAAGAUCGUUUCAUGGCACCUUACAACUUGCAAGCAAUAUAGCAGUUCAAUAAAUUUACAGGUGCGGAAAUCAAAUAUUGAAAUCUCCACAGAUGUGUUUAAGCAUACAUAAGUCACUGAACUUUCCAUCAAGAGAUGAUAAUUACAUUACUUUAUUAGUUGCAUAAUGAUAAUAUGCUGAACAAUCAAUCAGAUAUUGAUCAUCAGCUUCACAUAGUUUCUGUGCCAUCUUCCCUGGCAACAAGUUCUUUCAAACGAUAUAGCAGCAAAUGGAAGUCAUCGUCGCUCUUAAGAAGGCUGAGACGUACAUAGCGAUCUUCAGAAUUGAACAAGCUACCCGAACGACCUAUGAUGUUUGCUGCACCUAGGACAUCAUUACAAUUUGUGUCUUCUUCCCUCUCACAUUUGAACCAGACAUAUGCUGUCAUCAGUAUAAAACUGUCAGCUUUGAAAGUUUUCCUAUCUAGAGCCACAUACACGUCUAUUUGCCUUUAGACGAAAUCAUAUCAGACCAACUUCCUUUAAAAGCUUUCUAACUAUUCGAAUCACUUUCAUAAAAUUAGCCAAAUAUGUCCAAAAGCAGCUUUUGAGUCUCAAAAGCUCCUUUUGGAUUUUCAAAAGCCAUGCUGAAUGUGCCCUUAAUCUAUUAAGAUCACAUUGAAGGGAUUUAUAUAACAAAAUUUCUAUUUAAAAUUAUAAAUUUUGACGAACCUAAAUUCUAACUUUCAUGUGCAGGAAUGAAUGUGUCAAGUGAAGAUCACCUGGAGAUGGACCCCUGAUUUUCUCAAAGAAGUUGCAGUAUUGAGGUGGAAUUUCUUGGAUAGUAAAACGCUUC